UACAGGGGGUGCAAACGUUUGCUCGGAAUUAUUGGGCGUAAAGCGCGCGUAGGCGGCCACUUAAGUCGGAUGUGAAAGCCCCUGGCUCAACUGGGGAAGUGCACCCGAAACUGAAUGGCUUGAAUGCAAAAGAGGGUCGCGGAAUUCCCGGUGUAGAGGUGAAAUUCGUAGAUAUCGGGAGGAACACCGGUGGCGAAGGCGGCGACCUGGGUUGACAUUGACGCUGAGGCGCGAAAGCGUGGGGAGCAAACAGG
RNAcentral lists this ribosomal RNA (254 nucleotides) under uncultured bacterium. Its description in RNAcentral is "partial 16S ribosomal RNA". It matches the Rfam family "Bacterial small subunit ribosomal RNA", at positions 524 to 776 of the family's 1533-position model. The record is from RNAcentral.